AGGAGGAACAACCGCAGUGGCAGGGCCAGCUCUGCAGCCCUGGAGUCAGCUCCCGCAGUAGCUCCGGAGCUCUCCGUCUGCAGGGCCUGGAGGCUCCGGGGCGGG
RNAcentral lists this microRNA precursor (105 nucleotides) under Canis lupus dingo (dingo). RNAcentral describes it as "mir-8834 microRNA precursor family". It matches the Rfam family "mir-8834 microRNA precursor family". The record is from Rfam by way of RNAcentral. Lineage: Eukaryota; Metazoa; Chordata; Mammalia; Carnivora; Canidae.